Molecule: ribosomal RNA, 492 nt
Filed under: uncultured bacterium
Lineage: Bacteria
Description: partial 16S ribosomal RNA
Rfam family: Bacterial small subunit ribosomal RNA
Source: RNAcentral
AGUGAACGCUGGCGGUAGGCCUAACACAUGCAAGUCGAACGGCAGCACAGUAAGAGCUUGCUCUUACGGGUGGCGAGUGGCGGGCGGGUGAGGAAUACAUCGGAAUCUACUUUUUCGUGGGGGAUAACGUAGGGAAACUUACGCUACUACCGCAUACGACCUACGGGUGAAAGCAGGGGAUCUUCGGAGUUUGGGCGAUUCAAUGAGCCGAUGUCGGAUUAGCUAGUUGGCGGGGUAAAGGCCCACCAAGGCGACGAUCCGUAGCUGGUCUGAGAGGAUGAUCGGCCACACUGGAACUGAGACACGGUCCAGACUCCUACGGGAGGCAGCAGUGGGGAAUAUUCGACAAUGGGCGAAAGCCUGAUCCAGCCAUACCGCGUGGGUGAAGAAGGCCUUCGGGUUGUAAAGCCCUUUUGUUGGGAAAGAAAAGCAGCAGGUUAAUACCCCGCUGUUCUGACGGUACCCAAAGAAUAAGCACCGGCUAACUUCGUG